UGGGGAAUAUUGGACAAUGGGCGAAAGCCUGAUCCAGCGACGCCGCGUGGGUGAUGAAGGCCUUCGGGUUGUAAAGCCCUUUCAGUAGGGAAGAUAAUGACGGUACCUACAGAAGAAGCUCCGGCUAACUUCGUGCCAGCAGCCGCGGUAAUACGAAGGGAGCUAGCGUUACUCGGAAUUACUGGGCGUAAAGCGUGCGUAGGCGGUUUUGUAAGUCAGAAGUGAAAGCCUAGGGCUCAACCUUAGAAUUGCUUUUGAUACUGCAUGACUAGAAUAUUAGAGAGGAUGGCGGAAUUCCUAGUGUAGAGGUGAAAUUCGUAGAUAUUAGGAGGAACAUCGGAAGCGAAGGCGGCCAUCUAGCUGAUUAUUGACGCUGUUGCACGAAAGCGUGGGGAGCAAACAGG
RNAcentral lists this ribosomal RNA (404 nucleotides) under uncultured bacterium. RNAcentral's name for it is "bacterial SSU rRNA". It matches the Rfam family "Bacterial small subunit ribosomal RNA", at positions 355 to 776 of the family's 1533-position model. The record is from RNAcentral.